Molecule: long non-coding RNA, 300 nt
Organism: Zophobas morio
Lineage: Eukaryota; Metazoa; Arthropoda; Insecta; Coleoptera; Tenebrionidae
Exons: 4
Source: RefSeq, a predicted model, not a curated record
GUUGGUAUUUCUCGUGACGAAUAUGCCUACUUCUACGCUACCUCAGAAGGGGCAGUUAGUCUCAACGCUGAUCCGGAAUUCUAUGAAAGCGUUUAUGCUAAAACAAGUUUAGGUGUGUCUGUGGCCUCCAUUGUGUUCAUGGGGAUUUUGGCUGGCUUCUUUUGCCGCUACCAAAAGCUUCCUUCGAGUACUGAAGAGUUUAUAACCGCUAGGGGUACUCAAGGACUUUGGCUUAUUGCUUAUAGCUAUUUUGCAACAAGUUUGGGAUCUUGGCUCCUUACCUUGCCUGCCAGCUAUGCU